CAGAGUAUCAAGCUCCGUAACCCACUGUGAACUUAUCUAAGUUUAUUGUUUCUUUGGCAGGCGGUCCCUGGGAGGGACCUCCGGCCGGCAACGGUGCCUGCCAGAGGGACGCAAAAUUCUGUUAUUUCAGUUGUCUGAGCUUCUAUAAAUAAGUCA
Molecule: unclassified non-coding RNA, 156 nt
Filed under: uncultured fungus
Lineage: Eukaryota; Fungi
Description: sequence contains ITS1, 5.8S rRNA gene
Source: RNAcentral